Molecule: long non-coding RNA, 120 nt
Organism: Sinocyclocheilus grahami
Lineage: Eukaryota; Metazoa; Chordata; Actinopteri; Cypriniformes; Cyprinidae
Exons: 3
Source: RefSeq, a predicted model, not a curated record
CUAUCUGGUAUAAAUCAUGUAUGUAGUAUUUUAUUUUUAUAUUUUAAUUUAAUUACUGCUGCAUGCCAGUAUUGUUAAUUAAAGAAAGGCAAUACAUGACAAUAAGUUAACUUACUGCAC